Musca domestica (house fly) is the source of this 1679-nucleotide long non-coding RNA. RefSeq lists it as uncharacterized. The transcript is spliced from 3 exons. The record is from RefSeq and is a predicted model, not a curated record. Lineage: Eukaryota; Metazoa; Arthropoda; Insecta; Diptera; Muscidae.
UUUUUUUUUUUUUUGGAAACAAAAUUUUAAAGUCGAAUUAAACCAAGACUAUAUUAAUUCGAUAAACCAUCUACAUUUUAGACUACUGUCAGCUUGAUAUAUUCUGAAACGAAUCGGUCAACUCACCAACCCGGGAGAGAACACACCUUCAACCUUUGUUUGGAAUGUUCACACUAUAAACUUCAGUGCUGCUACCACGAAAUUCUCUAAUAGUUAUCGUCAUUGUUGCUGCUGGUGUUUCUAUUUUUUACUGUCUUCGAUGAUUAAUGUUUUUAUCACCGCUUAGAGUUCAUUCAGUCAUUGCCAGAAGCUUAAUCUGAAUGCCAUCGUCAACUGAUGGCAUCACAUUAUUUUUGCACCAGCCAUUACAACUAAAAGUGAAGAACACUACUUUGGAAGACCGCCUCGAAUUCAAAAUACAAAGAAGAAAAGUUGUAACAUCAAAGAGGUGGGUGUUAUACUUGCCAGCCAAAAAAUAAUGAGAAUGAAGAUGAUGGCACUCGCCAUUAUACAAACGCCGAAACAAAGACAGCACUGAUAUAAACUUAUUGGAUGUGUGUGUCCUCCCAGAAGCCGGAAAUUUCAUUAUUAUACCGGAAAGGAAAUAUGAAAAGCUCUUUGGUGAUAUCGAUGGUUAUCUUGAAUGAUAAUUUGCGGUAUGUGUUCUUGGAGGGCGGCUUUGGCGAGACGACAAACGUACAACAAAUGUGAAAAGUUUAAGUUUUGAAAACCAUAAAAUAAUUAACACUUGAUUAUUAUUCAGGGAAUUUUCAACACUUUUAUAGAAUGACUAACGACUUACAUGAUUAAAAUAAUUUGGCGCAAGGUUUCUGAAAGACACAUUAAUAAAGAAUGUAUGUAAGGGAACUUUUAAGCAUAGAAGAAGGAGAUACUCAAAUUGAGUUUGGCGUAAAGUUUAAUCAUAAAUACGAGGGUAGCUCUUAGAACUGAUUUUAUGAGUAUAGGAAUUGGAGUAAUUCCAAAGGCUGUCUAUUAUCAAUCCAAACCACAAUAUUUCGCGCAAAUCCGCAAAUGAAAAUAGUAUUCAGAAUUGUUGGAACCGAGUAAUGGGAGAUGUUUGAAGCUGAUCUUUAUCACAUCGGCUUAAAAUAGUAAUCGGCAUUGGAGGAACCGUUUAAUGGAAAAAUUUGGAAUCUGAAAUUCAUCGAAUCCGGCCGUUUUCAUAUGAAUGGGCAACAAUAGCAUGGAGAUUGUGACCCUAAUUUGUUAUGACGCAGAAACAUUCGGAAUAGUUUUUUUUAGGUAAAAAGUGCAUAACUUUUGAACAGAAAAAUACCCUCUCAAAAUUUAUCAUUAAGUAGGCUGCCAUUUCAGGACAAUAUGUAGGAAUUAAAAUCAUGAGAGCUAUAGCUGCUUCUGUUGACCUGUCAAAUAUCUCUUUAACCUCGUCUUGGGAAGUUUCCUUCCACUUAUUGCGCAAAUUCUGGAAGUCAUCUUUUUAACCAAUUAAAAACGAACUUAUACCGAUGGUAUAAUAAAUGUAAGGUAAGACAAGUUUGAGAAAGUUGUGAGAAAAGAGUCUAACUGCAUGGAUUGUACUCUCAGAAUUACUAAAAAUACUAGUACAGCAAAUAAGAAAACGCUUCAGUCGGGCGGGACCUACAAAUUGAUACCUUAAAACACUACUUUUGCUGUAGAAUAAACGAUUCCCUCAAGCU